UAUUGGACAAUGGGGGGAACCCUGAUCCAGCGACGCCGCGUGAGUGAAGAAGUAUUUCGGUAUGUAAAGCUCUAUCAGCAGGGAAGAAAGAAAUGACGGUACCUGACUAAGAAGCCCCGGCUAACUACGUGCCAGCAGCCGCGGUAAUACGUAGGGGGCAAGCGUUAUCCGGAUUUACUGGGUGUAAAGGGAGCGUAGGUGGCAUGGCAAGCCAGAAGUGAAAACCCGGGGCUUAACCCCGCGGAUUGCUUUUGGAACUGUCAGGCUGGAGUGCAGGAGGGGCAGGCGGAAUUCCUGGUGUAGCGGUGAAGUGCGUAGAUAUCAGGAGGAACACCGGUGGCGAAGGCGGCCUGCUGGACUGUAACUGACACUGAGGCUCGAAAGCGUGGGGAGCAAACAGG
RNAcentral lists this ribosomal RNA (401 nucleotides) under uncultured bacterium. Its description in RNAcentral is "bacterial SSU rRNA". It matches the Rfam family "Bacterial small subunit ribosomal RNA", at positions 362 to 776 of the family's 1533-position model. The record is from RNAcentral.